Molecule: ribosomal RNA, 497 nt
Filed under: uncultured bacterium
Lineage: Bacteria
Description: partial 16S ribosomal RNA
Rfam family: Bacterial small subunit ribosomal RNA
Source: RNAcentral
GAUGAACGCUGGCGGCGUGCCUAAUACAUGCAAGUCGAACGAACAGAUGCGGAGCUUGUUCCUCUGACGUUAGCGGCGGACGGGUGAGUAACACGUGGAUAACCUCCCUAUCAGUCUGGGAUCACUUCGGGAAACCGGCGAUUAUCCCGUAUAAUAUCUUGAUCCACAUGGUUCAUUGGUGAAAGUCGGUUUUGCUGGCUGUUCUAGAUGGUUCCGGGCCGCAUUGGCUAGUCGGUAGGGUAACGGCUUAUCAAGGGUACGAUGCGUAGCCGACCUGAGUGGGUGAUCGCCCACACUGGAGCGUGGACAGGCUCCAGACUCCUACGGGAGGCCGCAGAAGGGAAUCUUCCGCAAUGGGCGAAAGCCUUACGGAGCAAGCCCGCGUGAGUGAUGGAGGUCUCCGGAUCGUAAUGCCCUGUUAUGAGGGAAGAACAGAUUUGGAAUGAACUGUGCACGUCGUGACGGUACCUAAUCAGAAAGCCACGGCUAACUACGUG